AUUGAACGCUGGCGGCAGGCCUAACACAUGCAAGUCGAGCGGCUGAAGGGAGCUUGCUCCUGGAUUCAGCGGCGGACGGGUGAGUAAUGCCUAGGAAUCUGCCUGGUAGUGGGGGAUAACGUCCGGAAACGGGCGCUAAUACCGCAUACGUCCUGAGGGAGAAAGUGGGGGAUCUUCGGACCUCACGCUAUCAGAUGAGCCUAGGUCGGAUUAGCUAGUUGGUGGGGUAAAGGCCUACCAAGGCGACGAUCCGUAACUGGUCUGAGAGGAUGAUCAGUCACACUGGAACUGAGACACGGUCCAGACUCCUACGGGAGGCAGCAGUGGGGAAUAUUGGACAAUGGGCGAAAGCCUGAUCCAGCCAUGCCGCGUGUGUGAAGAAGGUCUUCGGAUUGUAAAGCACUUUAAGUUGGGAGGAAGGGCAGUAAGUUAAUACCUUGGUGUGUUGACGUUACCAACAGAAUAAGCACCGGCUAACUUCGUG
RNAcentral lists this ribosomal RNA (484 nucleotides) under uncultured bacterium. RNAcentral describes it as "partial 16S ribosomal RNA". It matches the Rfam family "Bacterial small subunit ribosomal RNA", at positions 30 to 507 of the family's 1533-position model. The record is from RNAcentral.